RNAcentral lists this ribosomal RNA (119 nucleotides) under Pteropus alecto (black flying fox). The record is from RNAcentral. Lineage: Eukaryota; Metazoa; Chordata; Mammalia; Chiroptera; Pteropodidae.
AUCCAUGGCCAUGCUACCCUGAAUAAGCGCAAUCCUGUAUGAUCUCGGAAGCUAAGUAGGGUUGAGCUUGAUUAGUACUUGGAUGGGAGACCACUUAGGAAGACCAGGUACUGUAAGCG